GGCCCAUUAGCUUAGUUGGUUCGAGCGUCGUGCUAAUAAUGCGAAGGUCGUGGGUUCGAUCCCCCCAUGGGCCA
This 74-nucleotide transfer RNA is filed under the name Trichonephila clavata. It matches the Rfam family "tRNA". Rfam says of the family: Transfer RNA (tRNA) molecules are approximately 80 nucleotides in length. Their secondary structure includes four short double-helical elements and three loops (D, anti-codon, and T loops). Lineage: Eukaryota; Metazoa; Arthropoda; Arachnida; Araneae; Nephilidae. The record is from Rfam by way of RNAcentral.